RNAcentral lists this ribosomal RNA (467 nucleotides) under uncultured bacterium. RNAcentral describes it as "bacterial SSU rRNA". It matches the Rfam family "Bacterial small subunit ribosomal RNA", at positions 28 to 505 of the family's 1533-position model. The record is from RNAcentral.
GAUGAACGCUGGCGGCGUGCCUAAUACAUGCAAGUCGAACGAGGUGCUUGAGUAGCAAUACGAGAGUAUCCUAGUGGCGAACGGGUGAGUAACGCGUUGGUGACCUACCCCAAAGUGUGGGAUAACAGUCCGAAAGGAUUGCUAAUACCGCAUGUGGUUAUCGGAUUUAGAAACUGAUAUCUAAAGGAGCAAUUCGCUUUGGGAGGGACCUGCGUCCCAUCAGCUAGUUGGUGAGGUAAUGGCUCACCAAGGCUACGACGGGUAGGGGACCUGAGAGGGUGACCCCCCACAAUGGAACUGAAACACGGUCCAUACACCUACGGGUGGCAGCAGUAGGGAAUAUUGCACAAUGGGCGAAAGCCUGAUGCAGCAACGCCGCGUGUGCGAUGAAGGCCCUCGGGUCGUAAAGCACUUUUCUGAGAGAUGAGCAAGGACAGUAUCUCAGGAAUAAGUCUCGGCUAACUCCG